CUAAUCCCCAAGGGCCCUUUUUAUCCAGGGAAUAGCAUUUCAAGGUUCAGUGGAGGAGAACCCCAAGAGCACCAAAAUGGAAAGAUGAUUUGUAAAGCUGAGGAAAAUGUCCAGCUGUGUUUUUAUGAGGACUCUCACUGCACUGAUAUGACAGAUGACACCUUCCCUCAACACUGUUCAUCAUUGACUGCUGAGGGCUCCUUCUUCAGUUUAUAACAGGAUGGUAACUUCAUAAGCAAUGUAGGACUUUCACAGGGUUCCACACGAAGCGUGUCUGGAUAAUUCAGCCAAGCUCUUCAGUCUCCAGCAGUGAUGGAAUCAGGAGCUCGCUUGGCCAGCCCUCUAAUGACUCAGUCACAGGGUCAUCCACUUGGGGGUGUGAGGAGAGGAGGCUUCUCCCCGCAAGUGCUUUCGGGGUGAUGCCGUAGAUUCUUUGUACCUCAGGAGUUACUUUUGCAAUUAGAGGUUCUCUCUCUCUCUUGGUAUUUUAUGCAUCUAAUUCUGCUUUUCUAUGCAUGAGUCUUGUCGGAUUCAGGCACAGCAAUAAGUCUCCAAAAUAGGGUCAGAGUGAGUUUAAUGAAGAAGUUAUUGUUUUCUUAAGGAUGAAAAUAAACAGAGAGAAUGCCUUAUUACAUAAUCAAUAACGUCGGCCUCUUGAUUAAAACACAAAUGCAAUUUAGCCCGAAAUUAUUCUCUAGUUUGAUGUUCUACAAAAUUAGAUUACGAUAAUAAAUGAUUGGACCUCUUAAGCACAGGCAGGUGUCCACACGCUGAUAGCCUCUGGAGGAGCAGGCUUCCCAAUCCGGAUUUCCUACGGAUGAAAGUUUAGGAAGAUGUAGUACUGAUCCCAACAUCUCACUCAUAGUUUCUGCAAUUAUUAAAGGCUAAAAGACAACACACAUAAUGGAAAAGCUUAGACUUUUGGAAUCGGAGGCUGGAUUUAGAUACUAGUUUCUCUGCUUAAUCAGCUGUGCAAAUUUUGUUUCAAGUUACUUAAUCUUUCUGAGCCUGUU
Molecule: long non-coding RNA, 1013 nt
Filed under: Homo sapiens (human)
Lineage: Eukaryota; Metazoa; Chordata; Mammalia; Primates; Hominidae
Description: HSALNT0198928
Source: RNAcentral